GGUGAAUAUUCACCUCAAGUUACUGUCAAGCUGCAUCAGAAAUUCUCAGGAAACAACCAUUCCAAUAUUAAUGGAGAAUCUAUUAAUUCUCGUCAGUUAAUGGGCUCUAAAAUUUUCAUCAAUUCCAUGAAUACAACAUCUUCUGAUGAAAGGCAUCCCAUCUUUUGGCUUGGCUCAACAAAUCUUGCAGUGGCAGCGACCUUACAUGGUAUGGUAUGCCUUUCCUUGGUCUUUUAUCUUGUAGAAAGCACAUGAAUAUGCACAUAUUUCUGAUGUUCAUUUCUUUAAUUUUGCUAAAUUUCCUUUGGAUUUAUAAGCCCUGAGGCUGCGAAGAUUCACCUCUAUAGGCAGUAUGGUUGGCAUUUGAGCCAGAUCUGUACUUUUAGUUCGAAACUGCAUGGGCUCAGAGAUGUCACAUCACUGCUUGGUUUGAGUUUGACUUUAAGCUCAGGCGAAUUUAGAUUUGAAUGUUCUAAAGUGUACCUGCAAAUCCUAACGUACACAACCAGACAACCCCCUACUUUCACCAAAAAGAAAAUCCCAACCCCCAACCAGAUGCACAGAUGCUCAGGCACGAUACAGGCAUAUGUAUUUAAGCAUAUGUAUUUUUCCUUGGUUUGGGAAUAUGAUAUAUAGGGGUGGAUCGAGCUAAUAGGCCCAUAUCAUCAUACCUUUUCAGUAAAAUUGUUUAAGCAUCUGCAGCCAAGGAAAAAUCCUCAGCUGGGACAUUCUUCAAGGUUUGAAAGUCUAAUGAUGAAAAGGGAAAAUGCAACAUUUAGGCAAU
RNAcentral lists this long non-coding RNA (784 nucleotides) under Elaeis guineensis (African oil palm). RNAcentral's name for it is "long non-coding RNA (EGUI_LNC006464)". Lineage: Eukaryota; Viridiplantae; Streptophyta; Magnoliopsida; Arecales; Arecaceae. The record is from RNAcentral.